GGUCCCAGAUGAAACCUAAUCUAAGUGGACAUCUAUGGAUGAGAAAUGUGAAUAUGGAACUGAGACAAGCU
RNAcentral lists this small nucleolar RNA (71 nucleotides) under Nannospalax galili (Upper Galilee mountains blind mole rat). RNAcentral's name for it is "Small nucleolar RNA SNORD99 (ENSNGAG00000001406.1)". It matches the Rfam family "Small nucleolar RNA SNORD99". From Rfam's summary of the family: The members of this family belong to the C/D class of snoRNAs which contain the C (UGAUGA) and D (CUGA) box motifs. Lineage: Eukaryota; Metazoa; Chordata; Mammalia; Rodentia; Spalacidae. The record is from Rfam by way of RNAcentral.